RNAcentral lists this ribosomal RNA (502 nucleotides) under uncultured bacterium. RNAcentral describes it as "partial 16S ribosomal RNA". It matches the Rfam family "Bacterial small subunit ribosomal RNA", at positions 30 to 523 of the family's 1533-position model. The record is from RNAcentral.
AUUGAACGCUGGCGGCGUGCUUUACACAUGCAAGUCGAGCGGCAGCAUGGGGGCAACCCUGAUGGCGAGCGGCGAACGGGUGAGUAAUACAUCGGGACAUGCCUCAUAGUGGGGGAUAACCUAUCGAAAGAUGGGCUAAUACCGCAUAAUCUCCGAGGAGGAAAGCUGGGGACCUGCGAGGGCCUGGUGCUAUAAGAGUGACCGAUGGUCGAUUAGUUAGUUGGUGAGGUAACUGCUUACCAAGGCGAUGAUCGAUAGCGGUUCUGAGAGGAAGAUCAACCGUACUGGGGCUGAGACAAGGCCCGGACUCCUGCGGGAGGCAGCAGUGGGGAAUUUUGGACAAUGGGGGCAACCCUGAUCCAGCAACGCCGCGUGAAUGAAGAAGUCCUUAGGGUUGUAAAGUUCUUUUAUCCAAGAGCAAAAGAUAGAUGUUAACAGCAUGUGUUACUGAGAGUAUUGGAAGAAUAAGCACCGGCUAACUACGUGCCAGCAGCCGCCGUAA